RNAcentral lists this ribosomal RNA (427 nucleotides) under uncultured bacterium. Its description in RNAcentral is "bacterial SSU rRNA". It matches the Rfam family "Bacterial small subunit ribosomal RNA", at positions 355 to 774 of the family's 1533-position model. The record is from RNAcentral.
UAGGGAAUCUUCGGCAAUGGGCGAAAGCCUGACCGAGCAACGCCGCGUGAAUGAUGAAGGCCUUCGGGUUGUAAAAUUCUGUUAUAAGGGAAGAAUGGCUCUAGUAGGAAAUGGCUAGAGUGUGACGGUACCUUAUGAGAAAGCCACGGCUAACUACGUGCCAGCAGCCGCGGUAAUACGUAGGUGGCGAGCGUUAUCCGGAAUUAUUGGGCGUAAAGAGCGCGCAGGUGGUUGAUUAAGUCUGAUGUGAAAGCCCACGGCUUAACCGUGGAGGGUCAUUGGAAACUGGUCAACUUGAGUGCAGAAGAGGGAAGUGGAAUUCCAUGUGUAGCGGUGAAAUGCGUAGAGAUAUGGAGGAACACCAGUGGCGAAGGCGGCUUCCUGGUCUGUAACUGACACUGAGGCGCGAAAGCGUGGGGAGCAAACA